CACGUUGGCCGUACAUUCCACAGCAGCCACAUCAAAAUCAUAUCACGUGUUUGUUUUUGUUCUCAUCUCAUUGUUAAAUUUCUUGAUCUACGGCCUAUCACGGAGUAAGUAAUUAAUUUAAUUUAAUUUGCAAUUAUUACAAAUGUAUUUUUGUUCAUUUUAGUAAGUUCAGUAAUCGUUUAUUCACUUUGAUUAAGAGUUUUCAUUGUUCACCUUUGUUACACAACACACGCAUACACAUUCACAUCGUGUUAUCUUAACUAACGAAACACACUCAUUAUCAUUAUUUUAAUGACUUUCCAAUGUUUUACGAAUGUCAAGAAGGUGUUAUUGAAUAAGUUUGCAUACUUAUUUCUGUUUAUAUUGAUUUUGUAUCUGUAUUAAACUUUUGUUUAUUUUGGUAUAAAUACACGAGAUAACCUUGAUAGCAUGUUGAUACGUCAUACUUUAUUUAAAGAAAAAAUCUAUGGAACACAAUUAGUGCCACUUUUAGGCGUACAAUUUUGUCUUUCUAAUGAAUAAGUUUAAUUGUUUUUAAGCGCAUUUCACAUCGGAAAUUGUUACUAUUGUACUUUAUACUUUUUAUUUCAUUUAUUUAAUCAGUUAAAUUAGUAAUUCAUCUAAGAUCAGGUUUUUAUGAUUCUUUAUUUGUAUUUCAGUUUUUUACCACACAAACAUGUAUGUAACCACAUCAUCAUAGAUUAAAUCAUCUAAAAUCACAUGUUGUUACUUCAUCACGGGUAAACUAACUGUAAGGCGGCAGUGCCAAGGCAGAAUAGUAAAAAAUCCUGGUUUAGAGGCAAUCAAAUCAGCAUGUCCGAAUCAGACGAUUCGUCAGCAUCACGUUCAAGAACGUUCACCGAGAAAGGCCAACAACAGUUUGAGGAUGAAUAUUCCAAAAGAAACAAACACAUAUGCAAGGCAUAUGAUCAAAUAGCAAACCACCUCAAUCGCAUUCCGCAAUGUUCGACCAUUGAGGACUUGGAAUCAGUUCAAAAAGAACUAGCAACAUGUGGAGAAAAACACUCGAAACUGUGUCUGGACUUAGUUGAUUUCUGUCAGCGCAGGGGUACGCUUGCCAGCAAAGAACUUGCACAAACACACAGAAUGACACAUCAAGGAUGUAAAAUACUUAUAGACUCAGCAACGCGACAAAUUAAAAAUCGAAUCAAUGAUAUAGCAUUUGAAGAAAGAUCAACAGUUUCAUCAAGCAGUUCGAAAUCAUCAUUAAGAUCAUCUACAAGCUCUCGCCAAAGUCAAAUGAGCUCAGUCAUAUUACGAACAAGAGCAAAAGCAAAAGUUGCAACAACAAGAUUAAAGUUUGUAGAACUAGAAACAGAAAUGAAGAAAAAACAAGCGUCUCUUGAUGAGCAAAAAGCAAGAGCCGACAGGGAAAAGGCAAAUCUUGCAGCUGAAUUAGACUUACUAGAGGCAAAACGCGAAGCUGCCGCGGCAGAAGCAGCAGUUGAUGCAUUAUCAGAAUCUCCAGAAUCGUCAGAAACUUCAGUUAAAUAUGAGUUAAACUUACAAUCAGAGCCAUUGGAUGCAAAAGCUCGAACUAAGACAUACGUUCAACAAUUAAACUCAGCAAAACAGGAUGUGCAAACUAGAGUUACAAACAACAACCAACAUAUUGAAUCUUCAUACCGUGUACCUGAGACUAAUUUGGACCCGAGGGUCGAACCCUUCAUUCCGUCACAGUCUGUAGCAGGUGAUUUUACUCGAUAUCUGUUGAAAAAGGAUCUGCUUCUCUCUAGACUUUCACAGUUUGAUGACCGACCAGAGACAUAUCUCACAUGGAAAACGUCUUUCCGUGCUGUCAUGGAAGAAUUAAAUGGACAGUUAAAUGGUCAAGAGUCAAAACGACACGUCAUAAGCAUCAAAUCUGCCAACGCAUCAAAUCCCUCUAUAGGUCUAAGCAGAGCAUGGCAACGUCUCGAAGAACGAUAUGGAUAUCCCGAAAUGUUAGAAGCGUCAUUAAAACGGAGAGUUGAACAGUUUCCGAAAUUAACUGUAAAAGACAACAAGAAAUUGUUCGAAUUGUAUGAUCUUGCAUCCGAAAUCGAUUCAAUCAAGAGUACGGAAAAAAUGAAACCCCUUCUUGGUCACUAUGAUUCAUCAAUCGGAGUUACACCAAUGGUAAAUAAAUUACCACAUAAUCUUCAAGAAAAAUGGACCACAACAGCUGUUAGAUACAUGAACUAUAAUGAUGUAGCCUAUCCUCCAUUUGGCCACUUUGUAGAAUUUCUCCGAGAUCAGAGUCGUAUCAAGAAUAACCCAAGCUUCUUUUACGAAACAACACCAUUCAAGAAAGAAAACAACUUUCAGAAGCGAUCAGAAAGAAACACUCAAAUACACGUCAAGAAGACUGAGACAACGGACCCACAUAAACCUUUAUCUCUACCUGAUAAUAACUCAGCCAAACAGAAGUGUCCGCUUCAUCUUACUGAGCACUCGUUGAACAAAUGUAGAGUUUUCAGGGCCAAGCCCAUCGGUGAGAGAAUUAAAUUUAUUAAGGAGAAAAGAAUCUGCUUUAAAUGUUGCGAAUCUACGUCACACAUUAAACGAGACUGUAAGAACGUUGUUCGUUGCAAGGAGUGUAACAGUGAAGAACAUCCAUCUGCUUUACACGUCGAUUAUACUCAUGUGAAUUCUUCUACACAAAAAACUCAGGAUCAAGUUAAACCGUCUGAAAAUCGAACAGAUAACGGCGGGGAGUACUCCGGUACAACUAAGGCAUUAUGCACUCGUAUUUGUGGAGGGUUUUCAGGGAAAUCAUGCUCAAAGAUAAUUUUAGUCAAUGCAUUUUUAAAAGACAAACCAGAGAAUGUUGUACGUCUCUACGUUAUGAUCGACGAUCAGAGUAACAGGACUCUUGCCAGUUCUCAACUAUUUGAUAUGUUGGCAGUUGAAGGAGAUGAAACAGAAUAUACACUGGUAUCAUGCUCAGGUAAAGUCCGUACCACUGGGAGAAGAACUAAUGGUUUAGUUGUUGAGUCUAUCGACCGAGCAGUUCAACUUGAUAUGCCUACUGUCAUAGAGUGUGAAAAUUUACCUGACAAUCGGAAUGAAAUUCCAACGCCAGAAGUUGCAGAGAGUUUCUAUCACCUCCAAGAUAUUGCGCAUCAUAUCCCACAGAUAGAUAAUGAGGCCCACAUCAUGAUGCUUAUAGGACGAGACGUCAUUUCAGCACAUCACGUACUAGACCAACGUAUUGGUCUAGCUAAUCUUCCGUAUGCACAGAAACUACGUCUCGGAUGGUGUAUCAUCGGGGAAAGCUGUCUAGGUAGCGUCCACGUGCCAAAGGAAUUAAGAGUCAACAAAACCAGUAUCCUUGAAAAUGGAAGACCCACACUGUUUGAUCCUUGUAAUAACCAAAUAAAAUUGAAGGAAAUAGUACACGAUGUCUUCGAAAAGAAAGACGACGAUGAUAAACCUGGGUUAUCGAUUGAAGACAGAUCAUUUCUGAACAUGAUGGACUCAAGUUUCCGCAAGGACGAAAACGGAAACUGGAGCUGUCCGUUGCCCUUUAGGCACAACAGGCCGAAACUUUUGAACAAUUACGAACAAGUGUUGAGAAGAGCAAUUGUACUAGACAAGUCAUUACGAAAAGAUCAAAUGAAAAGAGAACAUUUUCUAGAGUUCAUGGAGGCCAUGUUUUCAAAUGGUCAUGCCGAAAAAGCACCACCUUUACCAAACGACACAGAACGUUGGUAUCUCCCAAUAUUUGGAGUAUACCACCAUCGUAAGAAGGACAAAGUCCGAGUGGUUUUUGACUCGGCAGCAAAAUGCAAUGGAGUAUCCUUAAAUGACGUGCUACUACCUGGACCAGAUCUAACAAAUAGUCUAUUGGGAAUAUUGCUUCGAUUCAGACUUGAACCGGUAGCUGUUGUUGCAGAUAUUCAACAGAUGUUUUAUAGCUUCAAAGUCGAUGAACAUCACAGAGAUUAUUUAAGGUUCUUAUGGCAUGAACAAAAUGACAUCAACAAACCACUUACAGAAUAUCGAAUGUGCGUUCACAUUUUUGGAAACACUGCAUCUCCAUCUAUCGCUAGCUAUGGACUUAAACAAUCAGCCAUGCGCAGUAAUCUUGGCUCAGAUGUAACCCACUUUGUUCUAAAUGACUUUUAUGUCGAUGAUGGAUUGACCUCGCUUCCAACAGCCACUGAAGCUGUCAAUCUACUUAAAAAGACACAGGAAGCACUCAUAACAGAAGGAAAGUUAAGGCUACACAAGAUAGCAUCAAACAACAAAGAGGUUAUGGAAGCUUUCCCUCCCGAGGAUUUAGCUAAGAAUUUGGAAAAUUUAAAGUUAACGGAUCAAGCACUUCCAGUACAACACAGUCUUGGAAUCCGAUGGAGCCUUGACUCAGAUACAUUUUCAUUUGAUAUAUCGACAGACGACAGACCGUAUUCUAGAAGAGGAGUUCUAUCCACGAUAAACUCUAUUUUUGACCCACUUGGAUUUUUAGCGCCAGUUGUCGUAGAAGGAAGGUUAAUUCAGCGUCAAUUGAUCAACUCCACUAGCGACUGGGACCAACCGUUACCGACAGAGUUUUUCGAUACUUGGAACCGUUGGACAUCUUCAUUGCAAGAAUUGGAUCAGUUACAUAUUCGCCGUACUUAUCUGUCAGAUUUUUUUCUAAAUCAGAAGAGAAGUCAGUACAUAUAUUUUGCGAUGCAUCAGAAAAAGCUAUCGCAGCUGUAAGUUUUGUACGUGCACGAAAUAAUGCAGGACAAUUUGAAUUAGGAUUCCUACAUGGAAAAUCUAAAGUAGCACCAGUUCAUGGACAUACGAUACCGAGAUUAGAACUCUGCUCAGCCGUUUUAGCAACCGAGAUAGCCGAUACAAUUGCGCAUCAACUACAAUUGCCACUGAAGGAGUUCAAAUUCUAUACCGACAGCAAAGUAGUUUUGGGCUACAUUAAUAAUGAGUCGAGAAGAUUUUAUAACUAUGUUGCAAAUCGUGUACAGAAAAUUCGAUCAAUCACACUUACAAAUCAAUGGCAAUAUGUUUCUACAAAUAACAACCCCGCUGACAAAGGUACGCGAGGAGUACAUGCUUCGGAAAUGUCAAAUUCUCUAUGGAUCACAGGACCACAGUUUCUAUUGAAAGUCGCCACAGAUCAUUCGGAGAAAUUCACAUUACAAAACCCGGAUACUGAUAAAGAACUCAGACCGGAUGUACUCAGUUUAAAGACGGGUAUUGAAUAUCCACAACAAUUAGGAACUAGUAGAUUAGGUAGAUUCUCUUUGGAAAAACCUUAUCAAGGCAAUUGCACGUUUGAAACAUGUAGCACAGUCUUUUGCUAGCAAAUCAUCAUGUACAGGAUGGCAUAUCUGCUCAGAAUCAGCAUCUGUGAAUGCCAUUGAUGAAGCAAGAAAACUAGUUUUACGAGAAGCUCAGGUAGAUACUUUUAGCGACGAAAUUGAUUGUCUUACUACACGAAAACCUCUUGCAAAAUCCAGCUCUAUAGCCAGUCUCACGCCUUUCCUUGAUAACGAAAACAUGUUACGUAUUGGUGGAAGAAUACAAAAUUCAAAUGUUCCAGACAUUGAAAAACACCCAAUACUCCUUUCUGGUCGCCAUCACAUUGCACUACUUAUUGUCAGACAUUAUCAUGAACUUAGUCAUCAUCAAGGCCGUCACAUAACCGAAGGUUCAAUUCGUUCUGCAGGCUUCUGGAUAACAGGACUAAAAUCACUUGUAUCUUCCGUUAUUAGCAAAUGCGUAAAAUGUCGUAUACUUAGAGGAUCGCUAUGUACUCAAAAGAUGGCAAUGUUACCUCCAGAUAGAUUAGAACCUGGUCCUCCAUUCACAAACGUUGGCGUCGAUUGUUUUGGUCCGUGGGAAGUGUUAGCUCGUCGAACUCGUGGUGGACACGCAAACAGCAAAAGAUGGGCUACUAUGUUUACAUGUUUGACAACAAGAGCUGUUCAUGUAGAAGUAAUAGAGGAGUUAAGCUCAUCGUCUUUCAUUAUGGCAUUAAAACGAUUCACAGCAAUACGAGGUCCAGUGAGUCAUUUUAGAUCUGAUAGAGGAACAAACUUCGUAGGCUCUAUCAAAGAAUUAGGGAUACAAGCAAUCAACGUCGAGGAUGGUCGAAUGAAAGAGUUUCUUCGUAAUCAGGGAACAACUUGGCAGUUCAACCCGCCUCACGCUUCUCACAUGGGAGGUGUCUGGGAAAGAGUUAUUGGCAUAACAAGAAGAAUACUAGAUUCGCUCUUAAUGGAAGCUUCUAGGAAUAAGCUUACUCAUGAGAUGCUUGUAACAUUUUUAGCAGAAGCAUCAGCAAUUGUGAAUUCGAGACCGCUUGUCCCUCUCACUACCGAUCCAGAAAAUCCGAUGCCGCUCUCUCCAUCUUUAUUACUUACUCAAAAACCGCAAACAGAUCAUUAA
This 6399-nucleotide small RNA is filed under the name Mytilus galloprovincialis (Mediterranean mussel). The record is from RNAcentral. Lineage: Eukaryota; Metazoa; Mollusca; Bivalvia; Mytilida; Mytilidae.